This is a long non-coding RNA of Manis pentadactyla (Chinese pangolin), 1928 nucleotides long. RefSeq lists it as uncharacterized. NCBI's taxonomy places the organism in Eukaryota, Metazoa, Chordata, Mammalia, Pholidota, Manidae. The record is from RefSeq and is a predicted model, not a curated record. The transcript is spliced from 3 exons.
AGAGCCAGAAAACCAUGACUUGCAGCAAAGUUGGGUUCCAAGGCACUGGAGGCACAGCCAAGGCAAGCUCAAAUGGGCAAAACAGACCAGCACGGCGAACCCUGUGCCAGCAGCCACCAGAAUGGGGAACUACUAGUUGCUUUCAGAAGUCCAGCAAGCAGAACCUGUCCCCUACCCGAGCUUUCCUCUGCCCUGGGAUGAAGUGCAUUUUUCUGCUUGGUCCCUAUGAACAUGGAAUUCCUAACACAAAAAAAGAAAAUGCCAGUGACCCACCUCUUUACCAUCAAUCAUCAUCAUUUCAGAAGCACAAUUUGUCUUCUAAAAACACAAUUUAUUGGUUUUGUUAUUAAGGUAAACGACAUACAUUAGUUUCAGGUGUACAACAUAUACAAACAUGGAAUAUAACAAUUUAUUGAGUUUUAUUCAUUUCCCUAAGAACAUAUGCAGUGACGGAAAUGUAGAAUACAGGAAAUCCUAAAAAGGGAUGUGAAAAAUGUAACCAUACUCCCACUUCCCAGAGGCAAAUAGUGCCCUUUGGUUUAGAAGAGGAGGGCAUAGGAGGGAGGCUGACUCAGCAAGCCUGGACUGCACCUGGAAAGCUCUUAUGUUUUAAAGUGCAUUAUUCUCAUGCACUCUGGCGAUUCUCAUGAUGCGCCAUGUUUGGAAGCAGCCAUCCAGGGAGGGAAGCCCGAGAGCGGAACCCGAGCUCCUUCCAUGGACUGGAAGGCUAGCUUCGUGGAGCGAGCUGUUUUCACUUCCAGCCUGAAGAAACAAAGAGAGAUGGAAGAAAAUGUGGUACUUGGAUGAAGUUCAAAAUCAUAUAAUUCUAGAGUUUGAAUAUACCAUAGGGAUCAUCAAGUCAAAAGCACUCACUCAAUGAGUGAGGGGACUGAGGACGAGGCGAAUGUGUCAUGACAUUAUUAAAACACAAAACAAAAGAAAACCUCCUCACUGGAAUUAAAAACAAAUGGUGUCUGUUCUAAUGAAAUGGUAAUAAAAGCUUUGAUUUUUAUGUAAGAACUCAUUUUUUCAUGACAAACCUAAGCAAAUAUUUAUCCCCAAAAUGCAAAUGCUAACUCUUAUGAGAACUAUCCCCAGGACUACUUAGAAGUUCCUGAAUUGUAUUUUGUGAACUAACAGACAACAAUAUUCAUGUAUGAACCAAAUCCUAUCUGUGAGGAAUAAGCCAAAAUAUAUUGUAUACUUCAUGGAGAUCCAGAGACCCAAAGAGGAGCUAUAAUGGUGUUGCUCUAGGUGAAAAUACAAAGAUACAUGAACUCACUCAGAGGAUAUAAAAGACUUCUUAAAUAAAUGGGAUAAAGGUGUUUCUAGUGAAGAUAUUGUUUUGAUAGAAAUUUUUUAACCAUGCAGAAAAAUGUUGCAUGCCUCAUACAGCUAAAAGUUGUGCAUCUCAUGAAUUUUUGAGUUGCCGAUAAAUAUUAAAAGACUGUCAACAGAAAAAAGGAAGUGGUGAUAACUACAAGUGGAGACAGACUAACUUCGUUUCCUUUAGGUAGACAUAGCAGAUUGGUAGAUUAGUAGACUGUUGGAAACUUCCUGUAUCUGUAUUUUAGCAAGGCAGUUAUUAAAUGAUGAUUUGGACUGACACACUGAAGAAAUAUGGAUUGGUCGAUAAUGCAAAUAAACAUAAACACUUAACCUCAGUGACAGGUGCUAGUUAAAGGUUACUGACAUCCUAGAGGCCAAUCUCUAUGGCACUGCUCUUAAUACAUUUUCAGUUCCUUGGAAAAGGUAAUAUAUAGACAGAUAAGUCAAUAGGUAGGUAGGUUGAUAAAUAGAUAACCCCACAGUUUCACUUAACUGUAAGCCCAGUGCAAGUCAGUGGUGUGACACAGUUGUACAUAAAGCAGCUGCAGUUGGCCACAGGAAUGUGGAGGAUAUAUAACAAGGACAAGGGCGGUCAUAGA